CAGCAGCCGCAGUAAUACCGAGGGUGCAAGCGUUAAUCGGAAUUACUGGGCGUAAAGCGCGCGUAGGUGGUUUGUUAAGUUGGAUGUGAAAUCCCGGGCUCAACCUGGGAACUGCAUCCAAAACUGGCAAGCUAGAGUAUGGUAGAGGGUGGUGGAAUUUCCUGUGUAGCGGUGAAAUGCGUAGAUAUAGGAAGGAACACCAGUGGCGAAGGCGACCACCUGGACUGAUACUGACACUGAGGUGCGAAAGCGUGGGGAGCAAACAGGAUUAGAUACCCGUGUAGUCCCUGUCUCUUAUACA
This 301-nucleotide ribosomal RNA is filed under the name uncultured bacterium. Its description in RNAcentral is "partial 16S ribosomal RNA". It matches the Rfam family "Bacterial small subunit ribosomal RNA", at positions 509 to 808 of the family's 1533-position model. The record is from RNAcentral.